This 87-nucleotide transfer RNA is filed under the name Burkholderiales bacterium. Its description in RNAcentral is "tRNA-Leu". It matches the Rfam family "tRNA". From Rfam's summary of the family: Transfer RNA (tRNA) molecules are approximately 80 nucleotides in length. Lineage: Bacteria; Pseudomonadati; Pseudomonadota; Betaproteobacteria; Burkholderiales. The record is from RNAcentral. RNAcentral also lists the same sequence under 3 other names.
GCCGGAAUGGCGGAAUCGGUAGACGCAGCGGACUCAAAAUCCGCCGGUGGCGACACCAUGAGAGUUCGAGUCUCUCUUCCGGCACCA